RNAcentral lists this long non-coding RNA (895 nucleotides) under Ananas comosus (pineapple). RNAcentral describes it as "long non-coding RNA (ACOM_LNC013372)". Lineage: Eukaryota; Viridiplantae; Streptophyta; Magnoliopsida; Poales; Bromeliaceae. The record is from RNAcentral.
CAUUGGGCUUAUAAGAGACUCAGACACUAGUAAUAAUAACUGGGCUUAAGCAUUUUGGGCUGUUGGCUGGGCCCAACAAGUUAUUGUUGCUAGUGGGCUGGGUCGUUACAUUUGGUAUCAGAGCCGGUUCACCAGCUGGACAUGUGUGGCGAGUCUCGGCUAAGCCAGGGUCUGGAUGACAGGCUAGCGAGAUGAGUCUCACAUCGCCUGGUGAUCUUGGGCUGUGUGUGUGAUUGGACUGACGAGGACGUCAGGGUCUUAACGGGGGGAGUCUGUGACACCCCAAUAGUUCCACAUCGGAUGUUAAAGGGGUUGUCAUUGGGUUUAUAAGAGACUUAGACACUAGUAAUAAUAACUGGGCUUAAGCAUUUUAGGCUGUUGGCUGGGCCCAACAAGUUAUUGUUGCUAGUGGGCUGGGUCGUUACAUGAACUCAAAUCUGAUUGGACUCUGAUACAUACAAUUAGAGUCUAAUCGAUUCAAACUCAACUAAAUCCUAAUACAUGCAACUAGGAUUUAGUUAAAUCUAAUUGGAUUAACCCCUAAAAAUGUAGGUGUAAUCCAAAUUAAGUUCAAUCGGCCGUCAUUCAUGUACACUGGGGGUAUGUCCCUGGUUAAGCUAUGUAAUUGUAUAGUGAAUUAUGUUAUAAAAUUCAUCUUUUAUUUAAUUUCAGUCUAUUUCGGCAUUACAGAGGUCUCUUAAUCGAAGGUGCCCUAACAUUUUAUGGGGGUAAUUAACAGUAGAUGCUUGCAUCUAUUGGGAGCCAUGAAUCCAUAAUACUUGAUACCUAUAUAUAUACUUAAAUACUAAUCUGAAUCAUGAAUACUACCCCACGAAAAAUUAAAAAUAAGAUUAACCGUGCGAGGUGCGUCAUUCAUGGUCGCAAACAAAAUGGC